GACAGAGGCCUCAAGCGUUAGGCGGAAUCACUGGGCUUAAAGCGUGUGUAGGCGGAUCGUUAAGUGUCUUGUGAAAUCCCACGGCUCACCCGUGGAACUGCUUGGUAUACUGGCGGUCUUGAGCCAGCUAGGGGCUACCGGAACAAAUGGUGGAGCGGUGAAAUGCGUAGAUAUCAUUUGGAACGCCAAUGAUGAAAACAGGUAGCUGGGGCUGUGCUGACACUGAGACACGAAAGCCAGGGGAGCAAACGGG
This 253-nucleotide ribosomal RNA is filed under the name uncultured bacterium. RNAcentral describes it as "partial 16S ribosomal RNA". It matches the Rfam family "Bacterial small subunit ribosomal RNA", at positions 524 to 776 of the family's 1533-position model. The record is from RNAcentral.